This is a long non-coding RNA of Magnolia sinica, 600 nucleotides long. RefSeq lists it as uncharacterized. The transcript is spliced from 3 exons. The record is from RefSeq and is a predicted model, not a curated record. NCBI's taxonomy places the organism in Eukaryota, Viridiplantae, Streptophyta, Magnoliopsida, Magnoliales, Magnoliaceae.
GGUGGCAAAGGAAAAGAGGAAGGAGAAAUUGGAGCAACAGGAAAGAGUGGAGUUAAAUUUUCUCAGCAAACUUGGUCAUGUCCAAAAGAUUGAGAUUCUGAAUGGCAUUGCUGACAUGAAGAAUGAGCUCAGGUCCUUCAUGUUUCUUUUGUUUUACAGAACAAAGGUAUAUUUCAGCAGUGGGUGGUCCAGGCAUGAGAAGAGAUGGAUUGAGAGUGGCAUUUGAAGGCUAGAAUUUUUGCAAUGAAGUUGGCAAUGAAAUUCCUGAGAUGGGAAGUCCUAGAGCAGCUGACUGUUUUGAUUUCUUAAAUAAUUCUUUGGAGCAUAAAGUAACAGAAGAACAGAACAAACUUGGGGUAGGAAAAUCAUUCCCAGGUUUGAACCCAAAGGCUCUCAACAAUCCAGACCUUAAUGUGAUCAUUUGACAUAGCUGUUCUUAAGGGAAAAUCCCGACACAUUAAUCAGAUAUACUGCAUUUUUACAUACAUGUAUGGGUCAUGCAGUUCAAACUUGGCAAGCUGACAUUUAGUCAAUUCAUUUGCAUAGGAUGUCUUUUAUAUUCAUGAUACAUUGUUACUGGAUUCCAUGUUCAGCAUUUGU